Molecule: long non-coding RNA, 7409 nt
Filed under: Medicago truncatula (barrel medic)
Lineage: Eukaryota; Viridiplantae; Streptophyta; Magnoliopsida; Fabales; Fabaceae
Description: long non-coding RNA (MTRU_LNC002313)
Rfam family: MIR2617 microRNA precursor family (bases 6254-6340)
Source: RNAcentral
AACUUUUUACUUUUUCUAAUAAAAACAAUUUCAAUUCAAGUAACAAAUACUCAUGGCUAAUUUUGAAGAAGCUUCAGCUCUAAAACGCAUCAAAAUGCAUCUUCUUGGUGAAUUUUCUCCACUUCCAUCUCCUAUUUCAACACCUUGCUUUGAUUUUGAUUUUGAUUUUGAAUUUCAAACAAUCCCAAACAUAUCUCAAUCUGAAUCAAACUCUUCCACUUCUGAUUCAUCAAUCUCUUUGGAUCAUUAUUUAACUAACCUCCUUGAAACAGAUACACAAAUUCCUCUGUUUGAAUUUGACACAAAACCUCAAUUAAUGGAACAUGAGAGCCCUAAAGCUCUAACAUCAUCUCAUCAUGUUAAUCAACCUCAACGAACAGUAGAGAAGAAGCCUAAACUGAGCCGAAAACCAUCGCUGGAAAUCGCUCUACCGAAGAAGACUGAGUGGAUCCAAUUCGGUAAACCUGAUCCAAAACCGGAGGUGGUUGUUCAGAAACCGGAAGUUGCUGAGAAACAACACUACAGAGGUGUUAGACAAAGACCAUGGGGAAAAUUCGCCGCGGAGAUCCGUGACCCGAACAAAAGAGGUUCAAGAGUUUGGCUUGGAACCUUUGAAACUGCUAUCGAAGCAGCUAAAGCCUACGAUUCAGCUGCUUUCAGGCUGCGUGGCUCCAAAGCGAUUCUCAACUUUCCACUUGAAGUCAACGCAGUCGCAGCAUCGGCGGAAACCACCGUGGAAGGCAAUAAGAAACGGUGCCGUGAAGAAGAAGAAGAAGAAGAGGAAGAGGUGGUAGAAGUAAAACCGGUGGUGAAAAAGGAAAAAAUAACGGAAUAUGAUAUGAACUGUUUUAAAGAGAUGCCGUUAACGCCGUCUUUUUGGACUGGUUUAUGGGACGGUGAUGUCAAGGGUUUGGUCAGCGUUCCACCGCUGUCGCCGUUACCUUCCUUUUGUUUGUCACCUUUAGUUGUUGUGUGAAAUUUCUAUUCUAAGGUUCCUUGCAUCCUGAUAAAUUAGAGAUGUGAAUUUGUACAAAUUCAUGAAAUGAUUUCAUUUAUUCACUAAAUGUUUCUUUGGAUAUACUUGACUAUUUUAUAUUUUUAUUUUUAGAUUGCUAGUAUCGAAAAAGAGUUGAGACAAAGAGUUUAAAUUCUAAAUAAAAUUGUUAGGAUGCCUUUUAUUAGCAAAAUAAUAAGUAUCAGACGGAACAUGCUUAAGAAAAAAGUAUUAGGUAGAACAGUGUUAGACAAAACAGAAUAAUACAAGUUAAACAUAAAAUUGAAUAACAAAUAUAGAGAUUAUAUUUUUAUUUUUAAGAAAUAAAAAUGGAUUUAGUGAGGAACAUGGAUUCAUGUAUUUAUUCAAUCCGUUGCUACGUGUUUUGUUCGGUCUCGUGAUCAAUUUCUAACUCAAACACAAUAAAAAUUUGUCUGGUAAAUCAUAUGUUUUUAGUCAAUUAAAUGCACCCUUAAUGAAUUGAAUUUGUACAAAGCUGUGAGUAUUUUCAUGAAUUUUAUCACAAAGUCUCUUUGUCUUAGGAUUGUUGGAUAAGUCUAAAUGACAUAAUCCUAAUCAAGCUAAGCUCUAAGCCUUAAUCUUAUGUAACCCUAAUUUCUUAUCUAAAUUCACCGCUUUAACAUGAAUCAACCAUUAUCAAACUGUGGAAACGAAAAUGGAGGGUUUGAUAAUUGUUUAUCCAUCAUCUCAAAUAUCAAUUCAUAAAACGAAAGUGGAGCUUUGAUAUUCGAACAAGUGAAUUUAGACAAGGAUUGCAAAGGCAGCGAAAUAGUCUUUGCAAUCUUUGAGAUAUAUAGUUUCGAUCUUCAAGGGAACUAAUAAUGAUCAAGUCAGCGAAAUAGGUUUGGUUGUUAGAGGAACCAAAGUCUAAUAGUAAUCAAGUCAGCGAAAUAGGCUUGGUUGCUAGAGGAACAAAAGAGAAACUGUCUUGAGAAAUUAGGUCUAACAUAAAGUUAUAAGCUUAUAGUUUGGUUUGCGAAGGACUUGUUAUUUAGAUGAACCAAUGAUCCCAAGGCUCCUUUUAUAUUAUUAUCUUUCAAUCGUUGAAAACCCCAACUUACAACUUGUUUCUCCUCUAAUCACCAUCAAAGGUUAAUUGAAUUAAACUACUCCCUGUCGGAACGAUACUCUUUUCAUACUACUUCGGUAAGACUGUGCACUUGCGGUUUUAUCUCAUCAGAAAUCACAUAAAAUCUUCUUUGUCGAUGUAUGCAGGAACAAGAAAAUUCAAUAGCAGUAACAAGAUGAGAGAGAUGAAGGGAAGUGAAAUAUAUGGUAGAGAGUUUUAUGUGUUGAUGAAAAUGAUUUGAUUUUGAUGAUGAGAAUUUUAUUUUAUUUUAUCUUUUGAUUUUUUUCUGGGUUAUAUGAAAAUUGACUAAGGAGUAUGAAUGUGUUGAUGAAGGAAUGUGUUGAUGAAGGAAAAAGAAGAAAUAAGAAGAAGAAAAAUUAGGUGUUGAUAGUUCAUCGUAAGAUACAACAUACUUAUAUGAUCAAACGGUUCUCUUUUUGAAAAAAAUAUCGAAUGGUUAAAAUUAAAUGAAUUUAUAAGGUUUAUGGUGGACCACCUUAGACAUUUGAUGUUAAAAAUUAAUGGAGAGGAUCAAAACGGUAAACGAAAAAAUAUUUAUGAGACCAAUUGAAAUAUUUUAUAGUCAAGGGACCAAAGUAAAAACCAAAAGUAAGUUAAAGGACUAAAUUAUGAAUUAUCUAUAACCGACUGUGUCAUAAAACCUACUACUAUAGAAAUUUUUGUUGCUUCUAUUUUCCUCUAUUCCCCUUUAAACUUAUCUCCCAAUCAAAUUCUUAAGGAGUGACACACCACCUCUAUCGUGCAGUACUUGUAAUAAUGUUGUAUAUUUUUAUUUUAUUUUGGAGUGGUUCGUUCAUUAUUGUUCUUGUAUAUAAGUAAAAUUGUGAAAAUAAGUAAAAGACAAACCUAUCGCUAUGACCCCUCAAAAAGAAAAGGCAAACCUAUGACAUCAACGCAAUUGCAUCGUGACGUGCAAUAAUAUAGUAAUGGAAAAAAAAAGUUAGGUAAAUCAAACGUAUGUCUUCCCUUAUUUUAAAAGUUUAUUAGAUCAAGCAAAUUCAAAUUAUAAUUACUCGUGAGCUUAAGUCAGUUGAUUAAAACAAUGCAUAAAAUAUACAAGAUUUAGAUUUAAACUCCGGUCACUACUAAAAAAAUCCAAAUUAUAAAUUUUUUCCUUUCAUUUUGAUACAUUAAUAAUUGGUUAGUUAUUUCAACGUAACCAAAAAAAAUUUCCUCUCAAUUUGCUUCACUACAUCCUGCUACCAUUUGAUUUUAAAUUUAGAUUUUUAUACCUCACUAAGCUUGCAGUAAAUAAUGCCCUCCCAUCAUCCCUUAUGAAACGCCAUUCAUAAUGCAUCUAGCAAAUCCUAAAAUCUAAUUUUUUUUCCUCCCAUUUUGAAGCAUUAGAUGAUUCGUUAGUUCUUUCUAUGGAACCAUUUUUUUUCUCUUUCAUUUUUACUUCAUUAUUGCAAUCAUUUUAUUUUGAAUUUUGAUUCCCCCGUUAUUUCACUUGCAAAAUAAAUAAUGUCCUUUACCCCCACCCUCCUCCUCCUCCUCCAAUAAAAAGCCAUUCAUAACGGCUCUCACAAAAUCAUUUUGUAUUUUACUUAGAUUUUUGUUUUUAAUAGGACCAAAUAGGUUUAUGUGAAGAAAUUUGAGAGAUUUUUGAGUCGAAACAACAACUGUUGAUUUAAAACUACUUUUAACUUAUUUUUCGCUUGUACAUGUUUCACAUAUUCUAUCUUUAUCAAACAAACAAAAAAUUGGAAGACCUCUUACUAACUCAAGCUGUGAUAUUUUUGAAAUCAAUUUCAUAUUUACAUAAUCGGCUCUUUUGUGUCAAAUUCAUUUAUCUUUUUCAAAUGACAUGAAAAAUGAUUCAGAUGUGAUGUGAUGUGGGUAACUCUCGAUCUUGGGUGAGUUAUCCUCGGCCUGCAUGGGCGUGGGUAACUCCCGAACCUCGUGAGCCACCCUUGGUCUGUACUAUGAUCCGAUGAGUUUUAGGUGUGUCUAUCGUAUGAUGUCGUCUUCUUAAAGACUCAGGUCGGAUCUGAGGGGAGCUAGAUUGGGCUUUAGGCCAGUUCGAAACAGUAGCCCCCCAGGCUAUAGGCUGAGGGAAUCAUAUUGUAGUUUGAUAUAAGCUCUCUAUUUGGAGUCUGUCUUAGAGGUCAGAGACUGCAUCUGUUGUUGUGACUUUGGGCUUUUACGAGCUUCGCCAGACUUUGGAGUUUCCUUGCGAGGUUUUCAGAAUUACCGAGACGUGGCUUAAUGUCGUCUAGUAUGGGGUCUCUCAUGUUUGCUCCACACUGAGCGUAUCAUUAUAAUACAUCACUAUAAAUACGGGUCUCUCUCACAUUUAUGAUCACUUCACCGACUCACUUUGCAACCUGCUAACAUCCAAACUUACUUGUGUAACGCCCUAGUUGUUAUUAAUUAUUUUUCAAUUUAUUUUAGAGUCUUUUGUAUGAUUUUAAUAUGAAUUAUGUUGAUUGGUGUGUGCUAUAUUUUAUUAUAUGAUUUAUUAUGAUAUUUAUUAAAAUAAUGUGAGAAUUAUUGUUAUUUUGAAAAUUGGGGAGUUAAUUAGAAUUUAAUUGAAUUUAGUGGGAAUAAAGUGUAAUUAAAGGGAGUUAUAGGGAGUUAGGAAAUAGAAAGGAAGUUAAGUUAAGAGUUAGAAAGACAGAAAACUGUCUGUACGUACAAUUGAACCUUUGGGAAGAAAACAGAGAAAACCAAGCCAAGGGGAGAACAAGAGCAAGAGGGGAUCGAUUUUUGCUGUAGCUUUGUUUGUGCAAUUGAAUUCAGGUAAGGGUGAGGUUUGCUUCAGUAGUGUAGAUGUUAAUCUCUGGUUUUGAAUUUAUCAGGUUUUGGUGAGAAUGGGAAAAGAUGGGUUUUUGAUUUUGAUUUCUAAAUUAGAAAUGUAUAGGAACCAUGUUAUUUUAGACUUAGUUGUGUUCUGGGCGAUUCUAGGAUUACAUAACAUUACUGUAACCUGUUUUGGGGUUUGGAUUGGGAAAAAUUGGGAUUUUUAAUGAAAAACUACAAAAUUCACGAUUCUGGAACUGUCACGACUGGCCCUGGCGAAGCCAUUUUCGCCAUUCCCUCGCCAUUGGUUCACCCUGGCGAAUGUGUCCAGAAAUUUUUCCCGAGAACACUGCCUUAGUUCGCCAUUCCAUCGCCUUUUGUUCGCCCUGGCGAAAGUGCCCAGGAGCUUUUCGUCUUACGCUCGCCAUGGCGAGUAGCCUUUUUGUUGAAUUUCGCCUGGCGAAAGUACCCAGAACUGAAUCAUAAUUUUUGGGUUUUGUAUACUCAGUUGUACGCAUUGUUUGGUUGAUUCUUUUGACUGUGCUAAUGGUUAUAUAUGACUAUAUUAUUUAUCGAGAGUAUGAUUAAAUGUUGAGUGAUGAUUUAUGUAUAUUUACACUUAAAUAAAUUAUACAAAUUGUUGGUGCUGUUCUGAAGUAUGUUGUGUUUGCUAAACCAUACAUGUCGUUUUAUUCCGGAGUCAUAUGAGAAUGUAUGCAUGGUCAAGUUGUAUGUAGAUAUACACAAGUGGGUCCAUUGCAUAUGCAUAACAGCGGGAAGACUCAUGUCCUGGAACACUAGUUGUUCACAGCGGUGAGGGCUUUGGUCAUGAUGAAUGCUUUAACCAUUCAAAAGUGGUGAGGGCUUCGGUCCAGUUUUGGUACCACAUGCAUAAUUGCAUUUAUUGAGGGGUCUUAGUGGUGUCGUUAUGUCAUGCAUGAGUCUUUGUUGUUGGUUGUAAUUGCCAUAUUGAUGAUGAUGAUGAUGUUGAUGAUGAAUAUAUAUCUAUGUAUAUAUUAUGAUGAAUUGAUUUUGAAGAUGAUGUAUUGAUGUUUAAUAGGGUGUUAGAUUCAAUUGAUGAUUUUAAUAUCUAUAUUUUAUUGUUGUAAAUCUCACCCCUUCUGCUUGAAAAUGUUGCCCUUCCUAUGGGUAACUUGCAGGUGAUUCUGAGUAGUAGGUGGCGGCUCAAUGUCUAGGACUCUGAUACGUCUGGGAUGGGGUCUUUAUGUUUAUGUUUAUUCUUAUGCAUCGAAUUUUGGAUUAAGCUGAUGUAGCUCUUUUGUUAUUGUUGAACAAACUUAAUUCUUUGGAUUAUGUUGAUGAUGAAUUUUAACGUUGAAAAUAUUCCGCUGCAAAUUGAUGUUGGUUUAUUAAAUAGUUUUAUUUUCUAUUUAAGAAAUUUUGAAAUGUAGUGUAGCAUGCCCGUUUGAUGAAUUACUCUGAUGAAUAUUUUGUAUUAAAUUACUUUUGGGUAACGGGGUGUUACAACUUGGACAUCAGAGUGCCUUUUGCAUGAACAUCUCCCCCUCUUCCUCGUUCAAUGACGAGGCUUACGACCAACCGUGGUGGACCAGAUCCUUAAUAAGAUCAAACUUUAUACUAAGAGGCUAGCUCAACUUGUUUAACCUAAACAAUUACAAUAGAAAAUUUAAAAACUAACCAUAUUUUAGUUAGACAUUUUUCUUCUACAAUUUUUUUCUUAAUAAUCUAAUCCAUUAUUUAAAAUUUAAAUUUUGAGACACGUAAAAUGAAUUAAAUUAAAUUUAUAUUUUAUAAUAUAAGCAUAUACAUUUAAAUACAAAAAAAAAAUGUGAAUAAAUGUGUCAUCUUUCGCUAUAAGUAAGUGUGUUUUUAAAAGUAUUUACAAAAACACAUGAUGAACAAAAUAGUAAUAUGCAUUAAUCAAAAGGACCGCCAUUUGUUUUUAUUUUUAUUUUUUUAAAGAAAAAGGACCGCCAUCUAAAGACAACAAAAUGGACAAGAUUUAGAAGUAGACAUGGUCACAUGGACAAAAUGAGGAGCAAACUACAAAGGUGUUCCCUAUCGUAGAAGAUUGAAAUUUCAAAUUGCAAAGAAAAGUAAUUAGGAUGCUUCCUAGUAGCAUCGUAGAACCACAGUUGAAAGUCGCACUCUCACUCAUUAAUUCAACAUUUUCCGCUCUAUAUAUAUCCUUUUUUCCACUCAAAUUAGACAACACACAAUCUCAUCCUCUCUUCUUAUCUUCUUCUUCUUCUUCUUCUUCAACAACUUUUUACUUCUUCCUAAUCAUUUUCUUUUAAAAACAAUUUCAAUUCAAGUAACAAAUACAAAUACUCAUGGCUAACUUUGAAGAAGUUUCAGCUCUUAAACGUAUCAAAUUCCAUCUUCUCGGUGAAUUUUCUCCACUUCCAUCUCCUAUUUCAACACCUUGCUUUGAUUUUGAUUUUGAUUUUGAAUUUCAAACCAACCAAACAGCAUCUCAAUCAGAAUCCAAUUCCUCCACUUCAAUCUCUAUGAAUCAAUAUUUCACUAACCUCCUUGAAACAGAUGCACAAAUUCCACUGUUUGAAUUUGACACAAAAC